This 358-nucleotide unclassified non-coding RNA is filed under the name Hevea brasiliensis (rubber tree). The record is from RNAcentral. Lineage: Eukaryota; Viridiplantae; Streptophyta; Magnoliopsida; Malpighiales; Euphorbiaceae.
AUCUGCUUCUACAACAGUCAUAUUAUGUCCCUCAAUUUGGAAACUAAGGGCUGAUAAGGCUGUCAAGCUAGAAACCCUGAGCCUAUAUGUCUUUCCAGGGACAAUCGUCAUCGCAUAAGGAGAGCAUUCAGGAUUUGAAGCAUUGCAAACACCAGCUGGUAUGCCUGGAGUUGAGCAGUCGAAUUUUCCUUUUCCUUGUAUCAAGAGUGAGUGAGGCUCCCCAACCCAAACAAAGGGAUUAGAAGAUAAUCCUACUGAUUGUUCGUAAGUGCUAUUAUGGUACCAAUCAGUAAGGAUGAUACUUCGAUCAUAAUCAUACGCAAAAGGCUCAGAUUCUCCGUCAGGUAGUGAUACACGG